Molecule: non-coding RNA, 29 nt
Filed under: Homo sapiens (human)
Lineage: Eukaryota; Metazoa; Chordata; Mammalia; Primates; Hominidae
Source: RNAcentral
GAAGCAGAGUCCUCAGGGAAAAUGGAAAA